AGUGCAGUUGGUAGAGCGUUAGACUUUUAAUCUAACGGUUAGGGGUUCGAGCCCCCU
RNAcentral lists this transfer RNA (57 nucleotides) under Strongyloides venezuelensis. It matches the Rfam family "tRNA", at positions 9 to 63 of the family's 71-position model. From Rfam's summary of the family: Transfer RNA (tRNA) molecules are approximately 80 nucleotides in length. Their secondary structure includes four short double-helical elements and three loops (D, anti-codon, and T loops). The record is from Rfam by way of RNAcentral. Lineage: Eukaryota; Metazoa; Nematoda; Chromadorea; Rhabditida; Strongyloididae.